Molecule: ribosomal RNA, 429 nt
Filed under: uncultured Burkholderiales bacterium
Lineage: Bacteria; Pseudomonadati; Pseudomonadota; Betaproteobacteria; Burkholderiales
Description: bacterial SSU rRNA
Rfam family: Bacterial small subunit ribosomal RNA
Source: RNAcentral
UGGGGAAUUUUGGACAAUGGGGGCAACCCUGAUCCAGCAAUGCCGCGUGUGUGAAGAAGGCCUUCGGGUUGUAAAGCACUUUUGGCGGGAACGAAACGGUCUGGGUUAAUACCCUGGGCUAAUGACGGUACCCGCAGAAUAAGCACCGGCUAACUACGUGCCAGCAGCCGCGGUAAUACGUAGGGUGCAAGCGUUAAUCGGAAUUACUGGGCGUAAAGCGAGCGCAGGCGGUUAUGUAAGACAGAUGUGAAAUCCCAGGGCUUAACCUUGGAACUGCAUUUGUGACUGCAUGGCUAGAGUGUGUCAGAGGGGGGUGGAACUCCACGUGUAGCAGUGAAAUGCGUAGAGAUGUGGAAGAACACCGAUGGCGAAGGCAGCCCCCUGGGAUAACACUGACGCUCAUGCUCGAAAGCGUGGGGAGCAAACAGG